This 400-nucleotide ribosomal RNA is filed under the name uncultured bacterium. RNAcentral describes it as "bacterial SSU rRNA". It matches the Rfam family "Bacterial small subunit ribosomal RNA", at positions 355 to 768 of the family's 1533-position model. The record is from RNAcentral.
UGGGGAAUAUUGGACAAUGGGCCACGAGCCUGAUCCAGCAAUUCUGUGUGUGCGAUGAAGGUCUUCGGAUUGUAAAGCACUUUCAGUGGGGAAGAAGCAAGUGACAGUACCCACAGAAGAAGCCACGGCUAACUACGUGCCAGCAGCCGCGGUAAGACGUAGGUGGCAAGCGUUAUCCGGAAUCACUGGGCGUAAAGGGCAUCUAGGCGGCUUAGUAAGUCAGGGGUGAAAUACCGGGGCUCAACUCCGGGACGGCCUUUGAAACUGCUUAGCUAGAAUACGGGAUAGGAGGGCGGAACUACAAGUGUAGAGGUGAAAUUCGUAGAUAUUUGUAGGAAUGCCGAUGACGAAGGUAGCUCUCUGGACCGACAUUGACGCUGAAGUGCGAAAGCUAGGGUAG